Molecule: ribosomal RNA, 404 nt
Filed under: uncultured Clostridia bacterium
Lineage: Bacteria; Bacillati; Bacillota; Clostridia
Description: bacterial SSU rRNA
Rfam family: Bacterial small subunit ribosomal RNA
Source: RNAcentral
UGGGGAAUCUUGCACAAUGGGCGAAAGCCUGAUGCAGCGACGCCGCGUGGAGGACGAAGGCCUUCGGGUCGUAAACUCCUGUCUGGGGGGAUGAACACUGACAGUACCCCCGGAGGAAGCCCCGGCUAACUACGUGCCAGCAGCCGCGGUAAUACGUAGGGGGCGAGCGUUGUCCGGAAUUACUGGGCGUAAAGCGCGCGCAGGCGGCCUAUUAAGUCAGGUGUUAAAAUGCGGAGCUUAACUCCGUAUCGCACUUGAAACUGGUAGGCUUGAGUGCAGGAGAGGGAAGUGGAAUUCCCAGUGUAGCGGUGAAAUGCGUAGAUAUUGGGAGGAACACCAGUGGCGAAGGCGACUUCCUGGACUGUAACUGACGCUCAGGCGCGAAAGCUAGGGGAGCAAACAGG